UACGUAGGUGACAAGCGUUGUCCGGAUUUACUGGGCGUAAAGAGCGCGCAGGCGGUCGAUCAAGUCGAGUGUGAAAGCCCCCGGCUCAACUGGGGAGGGUCAUUCGAUACUGAUCGACUCGAAGGCAGGAGAGGGUAGUGGAAUUCCCGGUGUAGUGGUGAAAUGCGUAGAUAUCGGGAGGAACACCAGUGGCGAAGGCGACUACCUGGCCUGUUCUUGGCGCUGAGGCGCGAAAGCUAGGGGAGCAAACAGG
RNAcentral lists this ribosomal RNA (253 nucleotides) under uncultured bacterium. RNAcentral's name for it is "partial 16S ribosomal RNA". It matches the Rfam family "Bacterial small subunit ribosomal RNA", at positions 524 to 776 of the family's 1533-position model. The record is from RNAcentral.